This 440-nucleotide ribosomal RNA is filed under the name uncultured bacterium. Its description in RNAcentral is "partial 16S ribosomal RNA". It matches the Rfam family "Bacterial small subunit ribosomal RNA", at positions 338 to 795 of the family's 1533-position model. The record is from RNAcentral.
CCUACGGGCGGCAGCAGUGGGGAAUAUUGCACAAUGGGGGAAACCCUGAUGCAGCGACGCCGCGUGAGUGAAGAAGUAAUUCGUUAUGUAAAGCUCUAUCAGCAGGGAAGAAAAUGACGGUACCUGAGUAAGAAGCCCCGGCUAACUACGUGCCAGCAGCCGCGGUAAUACGUAGGGAGCAAGCGUUAUCCGGAUUUACUGGGUGUAAAGGGCGCGUAGACGGGAGUGCAAGUCUGGAGUGAAAGGCGAGGGCUCAACCCCAGGACUGCACUGGAAACUGUACGGCUGGAGUGCAGGAGAGGUAAGUGGAAUGCCUGGUGUAGCGGUGAAAUGCGUAGAUAUUAGGAGGAACACCAGUUGCGAAGGCGGCUUACUGGACCGUAACUGACGUUGAGGCGCGAAAGCGUGGGGAGCAAACAGGAUUAGAUACCCCUGUAGUC